AUGCGGGAUUCCCCGGCUGACGCGCCUGAUACGAGGCAGAUCUUGCCGGAUCCCAUGCCCAUCUCAGGUCUGGAGCCCUGCGGCACGACAAUCCAGGGGGAUUCGGCGGCUGGAUCUUCUGUGGCCGGUUCCGGUGAUAUAGAAACUACAACAGCCGCCACACAUGUGUCACUUGAAAAUCCUCAGCGCCAUACCAGGUCAAAAUCUGGAGUAUUCAAGCCUAAAGAAUACAAGGACGGUACAAUAAGGUAUGAUCCUCGCAAGUAUGCGUUUCUUACUAGUUCAGGUGAACCUAUUCAUUUAGUCGAAGCUCUUGCUCACAAAGAAUGGAAAGGGGCUAUGGACAAUGAAUAUCAAGCACUCAUGAAAAAUAAAAUAUGGCAUCUUGUACAUCCAACAAAGGGAAAGAAUUUAAUUGAUUGCAAGUGGGUUUAUAAAAUCAAAAGAAAAUUUGAUGGAAGUAUAGAUAGAUACAAGGCUAGAUUGGUUGCAAAAGGGUUUAAACAAAGAUUUGGAAUUGAUUAUGAGGAUACUUUUAGCCCUGUUGUCAAGGCAGCUACUAUUCGACUUGUAUUAUCUAUUGCUAUUUCCAGAGGGUGGAGUUUACGUCAGCUAGACGUCCAGAAAGCGUUUCUCCAUGGUGUUCUUGAGGAAGAAGUGUUCAUGCGGCAACCACCAGGGUAUGAAAACAAAAGCACACCUCAUUUUGUCUGUAAGUUGGACAAAGCUUUGUAUGGCUUAAAACAGGCCCCAAGAGCCUGGUACUCCAGGUUGAGCACUCAGUUACAACAACUUGGUUUUAUUCCAAGCAAGGCAGAUACCUCAUUAUUCUUCUAUCACAAAGGCAACAUCUCUAUGUUUGUUCUUGUUUAUGUUGAUGAUAUAAUUGUUGCUAGUUCCAGUUCAGAGGCCACUACCUAUCUGCUCCGUGAUAUUAAUGUGGAGUUUGCACUCAAAGAUUUGGGUGAUCUUCAUUAUUUUCUUGGUAUAGAGGUAAAACAGAUCAAGGAUGGAAUACUUCUUACACAAGAGAAAUACACCACAGAUAUUCUAAAGAGGGUAGGACUGGAACAUUGCAAACCAGUAAGUACACCACUUUUCACUUCUGAGAAACUUACAGUUGAAGGAGGUGAAUUACUUGGACCGAGUGAUGCAACAAACUAUAGGAGUGUUGUUGGUGCUCUACAAUAUUUAACGUUGACUAGGCUUGAUUUUUGUUAUUCUAUCAACAAAGUGUGUCAGUUUUUGCAUGCACCAAGUACAGUUCAUUGGACUGCAGUAAAGAGAAUUCUUAGGUAUCUAAAGUUUACAAUGGGACUUGGAAUCAAGAUUGUUAAAUCGCCAUCCAUGCUAGUUAGUGCAUAUAUAGAUGCUGACUGGGCAGGGUGUCCUGAUGAUAGAAGGUCAACAGGUGGUUUUGCUGUAUUUCUGGGAUCAAACCUUGUGUCAUGGAGUGCAAGGAAACAAGCUACUGUGUCAAGGUCAAGUACUGAAGCAGAAUACAAAGCCCUUGCCAAUGCAACUGCCGAAGUUAUGUGGAUUCGGACUCUUUUGUAUGAGUUGGGAAUCAAGACUCCACAAGCUGCAAGGUUAUGGUGUGACAAUAUUGGUGCAACUUACCUUUCAACAAAUCCUGUGUUCCAUGCACGUACAAAACACAUAGAGGUUGAUUUUCAUUUUAUGAGAGAAAGAGUAGCACGAAAGCUACUUGACAUCAAGUUUAUCCCCACAGGAGAUCAACUUGCUGAUGGCUUCACCAAACCACUUACUACGAGGAGAUUGAAUGAGUUCAAGUACAAUCUAAACCUAGAGAAAUUUUCAUAG
This 1824-nucleotide ribosomal RNA is filed under the name Triticum aestivum (bread wheat). RNAcentral describes it as "partial small subunit ribosomal RNA". Lineage: Eukaryota; Viridiplantae; Streptophyta; Magnoliopsida; Poales; Poaceae. The record is from RNAcentral.